This is a long non-coding RNA of Aquila chrysaetos chrysaetos, 292 nucleotides long. RefSeq lists it as uncharacterized. The transcript is spliced from 2 exons. NCBI's taxonomy places the organism in Eukaryota, Metazoa, Chordata, Aves, Accipitriformes, Accipitridae. The record is from RefSeq and is a predicted model, not a curated record.
UGUUUGGGGGCCGUGCGUUUGCAGGUUGUAGGUUUGCAAGGUGUGCAUUUGCAGGUUGUAUGUUUGCAAGGCUGUGUGUUUGCGGGGUGUAUGUUUGCAGGCCGUGCAUUUGCGGGGUGUAUGUUUGCAGGCCGUGCGUUUGCAAGGCCGUGCGUUCGCAGGCUGUGCGUUCGCUGCCCCUGCGUUCGCAGCUGCGGCCGCAGCCCCCCGUCUGCCCCUCUGCGGGCACAACCACGGGCUCUCGGGGCCAGCCAUCCCCGCACCCACGCAGCUCCCGCAGGACGCCCCCCCC